CCUACGGGAGGCAGCAGUGAGGAAUAUUGGUCAAUGGACGAGAGUCUGAACCAGCCAAGUAGCGUGAAGGAUGACUGCCCUAGGGGUUGUAAACUUCUUUUAUAUGGGAAUAAAAUGUUCCACGUGUGGGAUUUUGUAUGUACCAUAUGACUCAGGAUCGGCUAACUCCGUGCCAGCAGCCGCGGUAAUACGGAGGAUCCGAGCGUUAUCCGGAUUUAUUGGGUUUAAAGGGAGCGUAGGUGGAUUGUUAAGUCAGUUGUGAAAGUUUUCGGCUCAACCGUAAAAUUGCAGUUGAAACUGGCAGUCUUGAGGACAGUAGAGGUCGGCGGAAUUCGUGGUGUAGCGGUGAAAUGCUUAGAUAUCACGAAGAACUCCGAUUGCGAAGGCAGCUGACUGGACUGCAACUGACACUGAGGCUCGAAAGUGUGGGUAGCAAACAGGAUUAGAUACCCUUGUAGUC
This 460-nucleotide ribosomal RNA is filed under the name uncultured bacterium. Its description in RNAcentral is "partial 16S ribosomal RNA". It matches the Rfam family "Bacterial small subunit ribosomal RNA", at positions 338 to 795 of the family's 1533-position model. The record is from RNAcentral.